RNAcentral lists this long non-coding RNA (198 nucleotides) under Anas platyrhynchos platyrhynchos (common mallard). Its description in RNAcentral is "lncRNA (ENSAPLG00000024047.1)". The record is from RNAcentral. Lineage: Eukaryota; Metazoa; Chordata; Aves; Anseriformes; Anatidae.
GUGAAGUGAUCUUAUGAAUAUACAUUUUGCUACAUCAGCAUCACCAAAAUCAAAAUAACACAACUAUGCUUUAUUCCUAAUUAGGAAAAAUAUUUUUGUGAUAUCUUGACUACAUUUAGAACAAGACCAGUCUGCAGCUGCAGCACAGCCCUCACUGACCCAGCCAUCCCCUAACCCGUGUCUGGUGCUUGGCAGCCA